CCCACGAGAAAUCAGCAUCAUCACCGUUCUAAUGCAUGGGCUUACCGGGGCUCAAGCCCUAGGCCCGGCAACAUGAAAGGGCCCACGAGGCUCGGGAAAAUUAAUAAAAUGAUAUGAAAUAUAGAGCAAAGUGAGAUAUCGGUCCUCCUGUUUAGUAUCUGCUCCGAAACAGAAGCCGUCCAGCAGCUGUUUGUCGGUGUGUGACACCAGAGCGGGAGGUUUGAAAGCGGCUAGCUGAGGUUAGCAUGCCAGGGCUAAUGUUCAAAAACAAGUUAAAUUAAAACAGAAUCAUGCUUGACUUGUCAUUGAUCAAUUGGAAAGUGACAUUGUUAGAACCCUGGACUUUACUGCUCUAAUCAAGGACUUUGCUACACAUAAAACCAGGAGGAAGAUGUUUUCAAGUCCUCUCCAUCAGCCGAGUGUAUUAUCAGCUGACAGAUGUUCUCCAGAGAGACUGGACUAAUAGUUGGGUGUGUGUCCCGGUGAUGUGUGGCCCCUCUAACUGUAGGACACGCUCAGGUCUGCUGGGCUGACUCUGGUCCUGGUGGAGAAGACUCUGGGCAAAUCUCUGGCUGUCCCACCUCUCCGAGAUGGGCCAGAGGGAUAGAUCAGAGAUAAUGGAGUUGGCCUACUGAAGGUCCCAGAGGAGGCCAGCAAAGAAACUGAAGGAUAAAGGAAAAGAGCAAGCAAGCUAGCCGAUGGGGGGUUAUCAUCACUGGACUCAUAUCAAAGGAAGCUGAUGAGCAGCUGCUCCAUCAAACCUGAAGAAAUGGAGGCAAAAGAGCAGCAUUUCAGCUGCAGUGGCUCUACAACGGGACAUGCUUCUCUCUGUGUUUGCUGUUGGAUCUGAUGCAGAUCAGCAGGCAUAACGUGGCUGCUUUGACUGGCAGCUUCAGAUUGAAAGUGUGCUUUCCUGACAUGAUUACUGCAUCCUAAUGUGCAGGCAAGCCUGUAUUUGAACAAACACAACAUAUAUAGACUUCUAAAGGAUAUUUACAUCUCAGCCACUCGGCACAUAGACUGUGCAUAUCUGUUCAGGUAUUUGUAAAGCACAUUUGCAAUUUACCUCUGUUUAUUUUCAACAGUGGAUUGAAACAACAAAUAGCUCCACUGAGACUGCCUUGUAUAAUAAAACUCAAACUAAAUGUUAUUAAGAGCUGCAAAUUAAUAAAUGAGAAGUAAACAUUUUGUGCUUUAUAGCAGAAUUGUUCAGUGAAACGGCCAGGACCACAUUAGGUUUCUACGGGAAUUUCACAGUACGUAACAGAUGACUGCAUUAGACUCUUAUCCAGUCGCUUCAGUAAUUAAACUGAUUUAAAUCACUGAAAUGAGUGUCUGUGCUUUUCCCAAGAGAAGACUAUCACCCCAAAUGUAAUAAAUAAAAUAUGCAUAUUUGUCUAUGAAAUGUGCAAGCUUGCGGAACAGGAACUACUGGCAGCCUGAGACCUCAGGGAUAAAGAAGAGAGAAGAGAGACCACAAAACCUCAGUUCAUGAUACAAUAAAACACUUGUUUACUUGGGGAUAUACAAUAACAUGGGGUAAGAAAUCCUGUUAAAGGUUUUGUGUUUCCAACUAUUUAAUUAAUCUAUGUUGCAAUAGAGGCUUUGGGGUAUUUAAUCUCACUGACAGUUUCAGAGUUCCAGAUGUAAACCAGAUAUUUGUUAAAAUACCACCAGAGAACUAAAUAUUGAAACAGUUCACUGCUUAAUGGAAGAGAUUUUUUGCACCAGGCAUCAUACUCUGUACCGUAGAGUGCUACAACUUUCUGUACGCCAUGAUUUACAAGUCAUCAGACAGCCAUGAAAACGAAAAUAAUAUUCUAACAUGAAUAUGCAGGGUGUUCCCCAGUCUGCGUGUCUAAAUAUCGGAUGUGUGAUGAAGUCCGAAGCCUCAUCCUCCCUGGUGGAAUCACAUUGUAAACGCUCAUUGAGCAGCUAUAAAUACAAGUAAUCCUACAAAGCUCUGGGGUGGCAGCAUUAGAGCGGGUGAUGAAACAAACCCUGAAUGAGGAGUCUGAAUAAAAUUGACUGCACUCAAACAGCAAACAUUAUUGUAUGAUGCCUUCACAGACAGAUAAUGUGAACUAAAAUAUGCAAAAGAAGCAAAAUACUUGCAGCCAUUUCUGAAUAUAAAAAGGUAUUUGAUCAAUGUUAUAUUUACAGAAUUUACAGAACUUUUGCUCAAUGAGCCAGAACUUACUGGAAGUGAAAUGUUCAACUAUAAAAUCAUUAUUACAUUAAUAAAUGUUAUAGCAGCCAGUCAAAGAGAUUGCACUGUAACAGCAUGGAAGGAAGAGUGCGAGAGCGGGCCAGAGCUCCACAAAAGGUCCAGUGUUGCCUUUCCUUUUUUAUCUCUCACUCUGUAUGAAUCAUAGUGAUAAAAGGCGUCCUUUUUCCCCUUGAGAAUAAUAUGUUUCACAGACACUGUCAGAACUUUUCUCUCCAUCAUCUAUUUUACAUUGUGUCUGUGAAAAACUGAAUCUUAUUUCCAUUAUGUGUAGUUGGAACAGGAAUAAUGCGAGAGGGAAAAACAUGUUUUUUUACGGACAGUCAGAUGGGAUUUUUGUUGUUUUCUUAAAAUCAAUGUAAUUAUGAUUCUAAUAUGAGCCACUAACCUGCCAUACAAUAUAAUAGUGUAUUUCAGGGGCUCUCUAGUGACGAGACAACACAUUAUUGUAAAAUGUGGUGAAUUGUUUCAAAAUAAACAACAUUAGCAGAGGAAUCACAGUUCUGAAAACAAUCACAGAUGUUUUACAGAUGAAAAUUAGCCUUUCUGGCUAACUCUGGCAUAUUUUCAGAAAUGUUAUUAAUAUGCAC
This is a long non-coding RNA of Thunnus maccoyii (southern bluefin tuna), 2817 nucleotides long. RefSeq lists it as uncharacterized. The transcript has 4 exons. NCBI's taxonomy places the organism in Eukaryota, Metazoa, Chordata, Actinopteri, Scombriformes, Scombridae. The record is from RefSeq and is a predicted model, not a curated record.